GACGAACGCUGGCGGCGUGCUUAACACAUGCAAGUCGAACGGAAAGGCCCUGCUUUUGUGGGGUGCUCGAGUGGCGAACGGGUGAGUAACACGUGAGUAACCUGCCCUUGACUUUGGGAUAACUUCAGGAAACUGGGGCUAAUACAGGAUAGGAGCUCCUGCUGCAUGGUGGGGGUUGGAAAGUUUCGGCGGUUGGGGAUGGACUCGCGGCUUAUCAGCUUGUUGGUGGGGUAGUGGCUUACCAAGGCUUUGACGGGUAGCCGGCCUGAGAGGGUGACCGGCCACAUUGGGACUGAGAUACGGCCCAGACUCCUACGGGAGGCAGCAGUGGGGAAUAUUGCACAAUGGGCGGAAGCCUGAUGCAGCAACGCCGCGUGCGGGAUGACGGCCUUCGUGUUGUAAACCGCUUUCGCCUGUGACGAAGCGUGAGUGACGGUAAUGGGUAAAGAAGCACCGGCUAACUACGUG
RNAcentral lists this ribosomal RNA (468 nucleotides) under uncultured bacterium. Its description in RNAcentral is "partial 16S ribosomal RNA". It matches the Rfam family "Bacterial small subunit ribosomal RNA", at positions 28 to 507 of the family's 1533-position model. The record is from RNAcentral.